Molecule: unclassified non-coding RNA, 329 nt
Filed under: soil metagenome
Description: partial contains 5.8S ribosomal RNA, internal transcribed spacer 2, and large subunit ribosomal RNA
Rfam family: 5.8S ribosomal RNA (bases 1-120)
Source: RNAcentral
GAUGAAGAACGCAGCGAAAUGCGAUAAGUAGUGUGAAUUGCAGAAUUCAGUGAAUCAUCGAAUCUUUGAACGCACAUUGCGCCCCUUGGUAUCCCGAGGGGCAUGCCUGUUCGAGCGUCAUUUCACCACUCAAGCCUGGCUUGGUGUUGGGCGACGUCCUCUUUGGGGACGCGCCUCGAAACGCUCGGCGGCGUGGCACCGGCUUUAAGCGUAGCAGAAUCUUUCGCUUUGGAAGUCGGGGCCCCGUCUGCCGGAAGACCUGCUCGCAAGGUUGACCUCGGAUCAGGCAGGGAUACCCGCUGAACUUAAGCGUAUCAAUAAGCGGAGGA